RNAcentral lists this ribosomal RNA (497 nucleotides) under uncultured bacterium. RNAcentral describes it as "partial 16S ribosomal RNA". It matches the Rfam family "Bacterial small subunit ribosomal RNA", at positions 28 to 507 of the family's 1533-position model. The record is from RNAcentral.
GAUGAACGCUGGCGGCGUGCCUAAUACAUGCAAGUCGAGCGAACAGACGAGGAGCUUGCUCCUCUGACGUUAGCGGCGGACGGGUGAGUAACACGUGGAUAACCUACCUAUAAGCCUGGGAUAACUUCUGGAAACCGUAGCUAAUACCGCAUAAUAAUUUGAACCACAUGGUUCAAUAUUGAAAGGCGCAUUUGCUCCACCACAUAAUUGGCCCCGCGUCGCUUUAGCUGGUUGGUAAGGUAACGCCUUACCAAGGCAAGGAUGCGUAGCCGACCGGAGAGGGUGAUCGGCCACACUGGAACUGAGAAACGGUCCAGACUCCUACGGGAGGCAGAAGUAGGGAAUCUUCCGCAAUGGGCGAAAGCCUGACGGAGCAACGCCGCGUGAGGGAUGAAGGUCUUCGGAUCGUAAAACUCUGUUAUUAGGGAAGAACAAAUGUGUAAGUAACUAUGCACGUCUUGACGGUACCUAAUCAGAAAGCCACGGCUAACUACGUC